This 1501-nucleotide ribosomal RNA is filed under the name Enterococcus sp. CR-300S. RNAcentral describes it as "16S ribosomal RNA". It matches the Rfam family "Bacterial small subunit ribosomal RNA". Lineage: Bacteria; Bacillati; Bacillota; Bacilli; Lactobacillales; Enterococcaceae. RNAcentral also lists the same sequence under 1 other name. The record is from RNAcentral.
GACGAACGCUGGCGGCGUGCCUAAUACAUGCAAGUCGAACGCUUCUUUCCUCCCGAGUGCUUGCACUCAAUUGGAAAGAGGAGUGGCGGACGGGUGAGUAACACGUGGGUAACCUACCCAUCAAAGGGGGUAAAGCCUUGAAAAGCCGUGGCAAUUCCCGCCUAGCCUUUUAUGCCCGCCUGGGCCUUACGAUUGAAAGGGCGUUUGCCGUUGUGCCGUGAUGGAUUGAGCCCGCCUUGCCUUACGCUACUUGGUGAGGUAAGCCGCUCCGCCAAGGGCCACCAUGGCUUAGCCUACCUAACAGCAUGAAUGCACCAGCAUGGGAAGCUGAGAGCGCGGCCCAGAGUGCUAGCGCGAGGCAGCAGUAGGGAAUGCUGCGGCAAUGGAACGAAAUUCUGACCGAGCAACGCCGCGUGAGUGAAGAAGGUUUUCGGAUCGUAAAACUCUGUUGUUAGAGAAGAACAAGGACUUUAGUAACUGAAGCGUCCCGCUGACGGUAUCUAACCAGAAAGCCACGGCUAACUACGUUCCAGCAGCCGCGGUAAUACGUAGGUUGCAAGCGUUUUCCGGAUUUAUUGGGCGUAAAGCGAGCGCAGGCGGUUUCUUAAGUCUGAUGUGAAAGCCCCCGGCUCAACCGGGGAGGGUCAUUGGAAACUGGGAGACUUGAGUGCAGAAGAGGAGAGUGGAAUUCCAUGUGUAGCGGUGAAAUGCGUAGAUAUAUGGAGGAACACCAGUGGCGAAGGCGGCUCUCUGGUCUGUAACUGACGCUGAGGCUCGAAAGCGUGGGGAGCAAACAGGAUUAGAUACCCUGGUAGUCCACGCCGUAAACGAUGAGUGCUAAGUGUUGGAGGGUUUCCGCCCUUCAGUGCUGCAGCAAACGCAUUAAGCACUCCGCCUGGGGAGUACGACCGCAAGGUUGAAACUCAAAGGAAUUGACGGGGGCCCGCACAAGCGGUGGAGCAUGUGGUUUAAUUCGAAGCAACGCGAAGAACCUUACCAGGUCUUGACAUCCUUUGACCACUCUAGAGAUAGAGCUUUCCCUUCGGGGACAAAGUGACAGGUGGUGCAUGGUUGUCGUCAGCUCGGUCGUGAGAUGUUGGGUUAAGUCCCGCAACGAGCGCAACCCUUAUUGUUAGUUGCCAUCAUUUAGUUGGGCACUCUAGCGAGACUGCCGGUGACAAACCGGAGGAAGGUGGGGAUGACGUCAAAUCAUCAUGCCCCUUAUGACCUGGGCUACACACGUGCUACAAUGGGAAGUACAACGAGUCGCUAGACCGCGAGGUCAUGCAAAUCUCUUAAAGCUUCUCUCAGUUCGGAUUGCAGGCUGCAACUCGCCUGCAUGAAGCCGGAAUCGCUAGUAAUCGCGGAUCAGCACGCCGCGGUGAAUACGUUCCCGGGCCUUGUACACACCGCCCGUCACACCACGAGAGUUUGUAACACCCGAAGUCGGUGAGGUAACCUUUUUGGAGCCAGCAGCCUAAGGUGGGAUAGAUGAUUGGGG